RNAcentral lists this ribosomal RNA (253 nucleotides) under uncultured bacterium. RNAcentral describes it as "partial 16S ribosomal RNA". It matches the Rfam family "Bacterial small subunit ribosomal RNA", at positions 524 to 776 of the family's 1533-position model. The record is from RNAcentral.
UACGUAGGGGGCAAGCGUUGUUCGGAAUUACUGGGCGUAAAGGGCGCGUAGGCGGCAUGGCAAGUCGGGAGUGAAAGCCCGGGGCUCAACCCCGGAACUGCUUUCGAAACUGCCAAGCUAGAGUGCGGAAGAGGCAACUGGAAUUCCCAGUGUAGCGGUGAAAUGCGUAGAUAUUGGGAAGAACACCGGAGGCGAAGGCGGGUUGCUGGGCCGACACUGACGCUGAGGCGCGAAAGCCAGGGGAGCGAACGGG